This 1287-nucleotide ribosomal RNA is filed under the name activated sludge metagenome. RNAcentral's name for it is "bacterial LSU rRNA". It matches the Rfam family "Bacterial large subunit ribosomal RNA", at positions 1649 to 2925 of the family's 2925-position model. The record is from RNAcentral.
CGAAACCGACACAGGUGGUCAGGUCGAGAAGACCAAGGCGCUUGAGAGAACUCUGCUGAAGGAACUAGGCAAAAUAGCACCGUAACUUCGGGAGAAGGUGCGCUGUUGGUUGUUAAGGAUUUACUCUGUAAGCAACCGGCAGCCUCAGUAACCAGGCCGCUGCAACUGUUUAUUAAAAACACAGCACUCUGCAAACACGAAAGUGGACGUAUAGGGUGUGACGCCUGCCCGGUGCCGGAAGGUUAAGUGAUGGGGUGCAAGCUCUUGAUCGAAGCCCCGGUAAACGGCGGCCGUAACUAUAACGGUCCUAAGGUAGCGAAAUUCCUUGUCGGGUAAGUUCCGACCUGCACGAAUGGCGUAAUGAUGGCGGCACUGUCUCCAGCAGAGACUCAGUGAAAUCGAAAUCGCGGUGAAGAUGCCGUGUACCCGCGGCUAGACGGAAAGACCCCGUGAACCUUUACUGCAGCUUUGCACUGGACUUUGAUCUUGCUUGUGUAGGAUAGGUGGGAGGCUUUGAAGCGUGGACGCUAGUUCGCGUGGAGCCAUCCUUGAAAUACCACCCUGGCAAUAUUGAGGUUCUAACCAUGUCCCGUUAUCCGGGAUUGGGACAGUGUAUGGUGGGUAGUUUGACUGGGGCGGUCUCCUCCUAAAGAGUAACGGAGGAGUACGAAGGUGCGCUCAGCGUGGUCGGAAAUCACGCGUAGAGUAUAAAGGCAAAAGCGCGCUUAACUGCGAGACCGACAAGUCGAGCAGGUACGAAAGUAGGUCUUAGUGAUCCGGUGGUUCUGUAUGGAAGGGCCAUCGCUCAACGGAUAAAAGGUACUCUGGGGAUAACAGGCUGAUACCGCCCAAGAGUUCAUAUCGACGGCGGUGUUUGGCACCUCGAUGUCGGCUCAUCUCAUCCUGGGGCUGAAGCAGGUCCCAAGGGUAUGGCUGUUCGCCAUUUAAAGAGGUACGCGAGCUGGGUUUAGAACGUCGUGAGACAGUUCGGUCCCUAUCUACCGUGGGCGUUGGAGACUUGAAAGGAUCUGCUUCUAGUACGAGAGGACCGAAGUGGACGCACCUCUGGUGUUCCGGUUGUCACGCCAGUGGCAUUGCCGGGUAGCUACGUGCGGAAGGGAUAACUGCUGAAAGCAUCUAAGCAGGAAGCCCACCUUAAGAUUAGGUCUCCCUGAGGGUUCGACCCUCCUAAAGUGCCGUUCGAGACCAGGACGUUGAUAGGUUCGGUGUGGAAGCACGGUGACGUGUGAAGCUAACGAAUACUAAUUGCACGUGAGGCUUGACUAU